This 1382-nucleotide ribosomal RNA is filed under the name Bacillus cereus. Its description in RNAcentral is "partial 16S ribosomal RNA". It matches the Rfam family "Bacterial small subunit ribosomal RNA". Lineage: Bacteria; Bacillati; Bacillota; Bacilli; Caryophanales; Bacillaceae. The record is from RNAcentral.
CAGAUCAUAGCGUAUAGUAACAAUGAUGUCAGCGCGUUUGAGAGCCCCACGAGGUCCUAUCCAGGGAAAACGUAUUGGAUCCUCUAACGUUUGAGUCACCUGCCCAUAAGACUGGGAUAACUCCCGGAAACCGGGGCUAAUACCGGAUAACAUUUUGAACCGCAGGGUUCGAAAUUGAAAGGCGGCUUCGGCUGUCACUUAUGGAUGGACCCGCGUCGCAUUAGCUAGUUGGUGAGGUAACGGCUCACCAAGGCAACGAUGCGUAGCCGACCUGAGAGGGUGAUCGGCCACACUGGGACUGAGACACGGCCCAGACUCCUACGGGAGGCAGCAGUAGGGAAUCUUCCGCAAUGGACGAAAGUCUGACGGAGCAACGCCGCGUGAGUGAUGAAGGCUUUCGGGUCGUAAAACUCUUUUGUUAGGGAAGAACAAGUGCUAGUUGAAUAAGCUGGCACCUUGACGGUACCUAACCAGAAAGCCACGGCUAACUACGUGCCAGCAGCCUCGGUAAUACAUAGGUGGCAAGCGUUAUCCGGGAAUUAUUGGGCGUAAAGCGCGCGCAGGUGGUUUCUUAAGUCUUGAUGUGAAAGCCCACGGCUCAACCGUGGGAGGGUCAUUGGGAAACUGGGGAGACUUGAGUGCAGAAGAGGAAAGUGGAAUUCUUUGUGUAGCGGGGAAAUGGGUAGGAGAUGUGGGGGGACACGCGGGGCGUGUGUGUCCUAUAACAAUCUCUCCACUGUAUCGCGAACACUCGCACAACAAGCAGCAUAACUCAGAAGAAGCGUUUUCACCACCCCCCCACCAAGAGCAGAACGUUCAACCCCCUUCACCCCCCUUCCCCCCAGGGAGAUAGCCACGGGCCCGCAAGGGUCUAAAAAUUCCAAAGGGAAUUUCUACCGCUUACCAAGGUUUGGAAACCUUCGAAAAACCCAAAAGAUAGGGUUUUUCUUUCGGAACAAAAUUAACAGGUGGGGCAUGGUGGUGGUAAGCUCCGGGUCUUAAGAUGUGGGGUUAAGUCCCGAAACAAGGGAAACCCUUAUUUUAAGUGGCCAUCAUUAAGUGGGGCAUUCUAAGGUGACGCCCGGUGACAAACCGGAGGAAGGGGGGGAGGAGGUAAAAUCAUCAUGCCCUUUAUGCCUUGGGCUACACACUUGCUACAAUGGACGGUAAAAAAAGUUGCAAGACCGGGAGGUGGAGUUAAUUUAAUAAAACCGUUUUCAGUUGGGAUGGUAGGUUGCAAUUGGCUUACUUGAAGCGGGAAUCGCUGGUAAUGGCGAAUAAGCAUGCCGCGGGAAUAGGUUCCGGGGAAAAAGGAACCGCAUGGUCCUCAGAGUUGAACAGGUCAGAAUUUAACCCAGAGGGCUUCCUCUCAGUUAGAGCAU